Molecule: long non-coding RNA, 1416 nt
Filed under: Ovis aries (sheep)
Lineage: Eukaryota; Metazoa; Chordata; Mammalia; Artiodactyla; Bovidae
Description: lncRNA (ENSOARG00000026014.1)
Source: RNAcentral
GUUGUCCAUCUGCUAAGCCUAUGCCACUAGAUGCGGUGCAAGAAAGAGGGCCCUUUUCAGCAAGAUGCUAGCCCAAGUCCCCAAGUCCGUUGACAUCAUUUUUAAAUGCUGGACCUUUGGGAAACUGGUGACUUUGAGCUUUUCUUCUCGUUGCAGUCAAGACCACAGAGCUUCUCCUACAGAUUCGGCCAGGAAUUUUUUCAUAGUUUUCCUAGACUGGAAUGCCUAGUAUCCAGCUCUCAUCACUGACUUGGAUGUGUCUUGAAGAAACCCAAGGUUGAGAGAGCAGAGGUGUCCCACUGCGGCCCAAAGAUAAAGGCCUGUCCAUCAGUUAUGUCCAAACUGUCAGUUACCCAGAAAGCCCUUGAUAACAGGCAGACAGAAAGGCUGACGAACCAAAGAGCGUUAUAUGCUGGGUGCACAGCUGCUCACCUGCGCACUGGGGACAGUACAGGGUUCUUGUGCACUAGAAAUCAACCGCGGCACGGUGAGCGGGAUCCAUAGUACAGCUCCUCCUUAUUAGGAUUUCAAAGCUGACCCAACGUAAUACACUUAUACAAGGAUCUGAAUUCCUAAAUUCUUCACUUCGGGUUUUCAAAGGAUAGGAUCUUCAAUGGGAAUUGGGACUUUUGUCUGAUUUUUUUUUUUUUUUUCUACUUAGCUACCUAACUUCUCAAAACCACAGGACUGGUCUAUGUUAUUGUCCUGGUUACCCUCAGACUCUCACGUGGCGGCUACUGGAACUCUGGAGGUGAGCGUUGCAGCUGCUGAUCAGGCCCAUUCCCAGAUUCUCCAGGAAGGGAGCAAAGCGGGAGGCGACACGCUCCUUUAUCUUCAACUGGCUGAAUGCCAAAAUCCUUCACGUUACCAGUCUCUGCGAAUUCCAGCUUGUUAGUAUCCAGGUUAGCCAAGGAAAUUUCCUCCAUUUUAAUCUGUAAACGGCCGUGGAGAGGGCGCUCGGAUUACUCACAGCUGCACCGGCGGCAACGCGGCGAGUGCGGAAGCCUCCGCCGCGGCAACGGCAGGGGAGCAGCAGUCACCGGCGACUGCUCGGGAAUCCCAGGUCCUUCCGUUUUUUCUGGCGUUUCCCGGGGCUGGGACGUGCAGCUCGGGCUGGCCGGGACUCACCGCCGCCACACGGUGUGGGUGCCGCUCUCCGCCGCCGCAGUCUCUUCCGCUCGCUGGUCCCGGCUUAGCCCCGCCUCCCCACUUCCGCUCCUCAGCUCGCCUGCGCACGGGCGGCGCGCAGACGCGCGGGGCUGGUGCCUGCGCGCAGCUGCCUGGCGAGUGUUGGCGUUCAGGAAGAUGGGUGGGAAGAAGCUAAAUUUGGGAACUCGUUGUUUGAAUCUACUUGGUUUCCAGCAGUUCAUGGGAGAUAAUGAUAUGACAUCAGACUUAGCUGAUGAAGGAAACUAA